CUCUUCGUUAAGUCGUCCUUCCCAACAUGGCGCAGUCUAUUAACAUCACGGAGCUGAAUCUGCCGCAGCUAGAAAUGCUCAAGAACCAGCUGGACCAGGAAGUGGAGUUCUUGUCCACGUCCAUUGCUCAGCUCAAAGUGGUACAGACUAAGUAUGUGGAAGCCAAGGACUGUCUGAACGUGCUGAACAAGAGCAACGAGGACGGAAUUUCGCUCUGUCGCCCAGGCUGGAGCGCAAUGGUGAGAUCUUGGUUUACUGCAACCUCCGCCUCCCGAGUUCAAGAGAUUCUUCUGUCUCAGUCUCCCGAGUAGCUGGGACUUUAGGUACGCGCCACCACGACCGGCUAAUUUUUGUAUUAAUAGUAGAGUUGGGGGUUUCACCAUAUUGGCCAGGCUAGUCUCGAACUCCUGACCUCGUGAUCCGCCUGCCUCGGCCUCUCAAAGUGCUAGGAUUACAUUACAGGCGUGAGCCACUGCCC
RNAcentral lists this small RNA (478 nucleotides) under Pan troglodytes (chimpanzee). Its description in RNAcentral is "retained intron". Lineage: Eukaryota; Metazoa; Chordata; Mammalia; Primates; Hominidae. The record is from RNAcentral.